CAUGCGUCGUUGGCGAUGAAGCCUCAUGCUGCAGCUAUAAAGCUGAGUGAUGAAGGGGAAAUAUUAGAAGUCCUGGAAGAUUGUGAAGGGAAGACCUUGAAGUUCAUCAGUGAAAUUGAAGAGAAAGAUGGAAAACUUUGGAUGGCAUCAGUGUUAAUGCCUUAUAUUGGUGUUUAUAAUUUAUGAGAAUGCAAUAUACUAUAUUAGUGUUUAUACUGAUGUUGCUAGCACUCAUCUUUGAACUAUCUUUAAACUUAGUAUGGAUUAAGUUAGUCUGGAUUAAGUUUUAACUUAGUAGAGUUAAUUAGGCCUGUUUGAUUGUGUUUUGCUUUUUAGUUUUUGAAAAUUAUUUUACAAACUUGUUCUUUAAAACUGUUUUAAAAAGUAAAUUAAGAAAAAAAAUCUGUUUGGGGAUUACACUUUUAAAAACUGUUUUAAAGGUCCUUUUAGAGUUUUUAAAAAGCAGAAAUGCCAUUAAUGAAAAUAUGUCCAAGGUCCGCCUUUCUUAAACUCUAAAAGGAAAACUAAAAUUGAAAACCAAAACUACUUUUGACAGUUCUGCUAUUUUAGUUUUUAAAACUAAUAAACUCAAACUAAUUUUCAAAAUUACAAUUUAAAAAAUAGUUUACCAAACAAAUUUUGUAGUUUUUAAUUUUUAAAAACUAAAAAACUGUUUUUGAGAAGUGAAUCAAACUUGUUUCUAGUUUUUUUAUUUUAUUUUAUUUUCUUUAUUACAAAGUUUCUAGUUUUUUUUUUUAGGGGAAAGUUUCUAGUUCUUGUCUUACGAAAAAAGUGAUAAUAAAGUUUAUUGAUGUUUAUGGACCAGUUAAAUCUUUAUACUAACAAUUUAGAGUUCUUAGCAAUAGCCUAUUUCAAAUUCCUUUCCUCUAAGGAUGUCCACCUCAUCAAAAUCCUACUUGGCAUAUGUUCCCAAAAUUCCUCCUAAUUUUUAAUACAAGCUUAAUAAUUUUAAUUAUUAUCAAAAAUCGUUUUUUAUUUAAGAUUAAAUUGUACAUAAAGUAAAUAGUUGGUUACAAUCAGAUAAUGAUUAAUAUAAUUACUGUUUCGAUUAAAAUUUAUAUUUUACAAUAAAAAUUUGAACGUUACAAAUCAAAUAAUUAUUAAUCUAAUUAGUAUUCAAUUAACAUUUAUAUGUAACAUUCAAAAUUUGGUUGGUUACAAAAUUAUAAUAAAUAAACUGAAUAAAUUAUAUUUUGAAUUUUGGGACGUUACACUAAGGCAUUAACCUACUAAUUAAAAAAUUAAUUGUAUUAAUUAGUUUUUAAGGUUAUAUAAUUAAUUUUUGUUUGUUACAAAACUAUAUUACAUAAUUAUUUAUAAGAUAUUAUUAAAUAUUAAAUUAAAUUUCAAAUGUUAUGAAGUUAAUUUUUUGUACGUUACAUGAAAUAUAAUUUAAUCGUUUAAUGCACGUUUUAUAAUAUUAAAGACGUUGAUAAUAUUAAUUUUAAAACGGUCAAAUUGAUAAUUAAUUUAUAUUAACCGUUAUGGUACUAUUUUUCUAUAUAAAUAGUAGAGAUUUUGGGUAUGAGUACACAACAAUCACAAAAUAUAGUUCUUCGUUUUCUGUUCUUUGGUGCUCUGAUAUCUAUAUUCUAAACUAUUUCUGUAAUUUUUCUAUUGCAAAGGAAAAUGUCAACGAAACACAACUUCAUCUCUAAUGUUUCGCCAAGAAAACAAUCGUGGACAUUGGUUGUGAGGGUUGUUCGUGCUUGGUUUGGUCAAGACUACAAAAAUAAAAAACUACCAUUUUCCAUGGAGUUGGUUCUAAUGGAUCGAAAGGUACCUUUUUCAUAUCGUUUUUUUUUUUUUUUUUUUUUAGUAUUUUUUUGUUUAAAGUAUAGUGUUCUCAUCUUUUUUAUCUAGGGUGAUCGAAUUGGUGCGUCUAUACGAAGAACAUUGAUCUACAAGUUCAAGGAACAACUCCAAGAGGGAAUGGUGUUCACGAUUUCCUCAUUUAAUGUUGCUAGCAACAGUGGUUCGUAUCGACCAUCACGCAACGAAUACAAACUGAAUUUCACAAUCAACACAAAAGUCAAACUAUCUAAAACUGUUUUGGUCCCAACAAACGUGUAUUCGUUUACACCUGCACCUGAUGUUUUCAAUGAAUCUUACGACAACAACUACUUAGUUGGUAAGUGACUAUAAUUUUCUUCAUGUAGAUUUUUUUAAAUAUUAUUUUUGCUUACAAAAAUAACACAAUAAUUUAUAUAUUGAAUUAAUAAAAUGUUUUGUUUAAUAUGAUUCAAUUGUACGUUAUAUUCUUUUAAUAAUAAAUAGUAAUUUGAUUGAUAUUUUAAUGUGUGUUAUAUAUGCAGAUGUAAUUGGAGUCAUGAUUGGAGUUGGAGUUGAAAGAGAGUACGAAAGAGAUGGUGUAAAAACUAAAAUGAAUGUCAUUGAAUUGGAUUCAAAUGGGUAGGUUUGAUUUAUUUUUUUUGUAAUUGUAAUUUUUCAAGACCUGUAUUAUAAUAUUUUUAUUAAUAUUUGUAUAAUCUUUGACAAUUUUAAAUAGGUACGUACCGUUUUAAAUGUACUCUUUUUGGAGAGUAUGUUGAAGAGCUGAACUCUUUCCUAUCUUCCGGUGAAUCUCAAAAUGCUGUUGUAGCCAUUAUGUUGACAAAAGUUAAAUUGUUUCAAGGUAAUAAUUUAUGACUAGCAAUUGUGAUUGUUUGUUUAUACGAAUAUAUAUACUUGAUUCAUAUACUUUUGAAUCUUAAUGAUAGGAAAACCAGCAUUGCGAAAUGCAUUUUCUUACACUAGAAUCACAUUCAAUCCUGAAAUGGGUGAAACAAAGGAAAUAAGGAAAAGGUAUAUAUAUUUUUUUUAAUAUAACAUUUUUUUUUCUUAAGUUAUAAUAUUAUUGAUUGAUACUUUUUAUUAUAGCUUUCUUAGUGCAAAUACAAAUUCUCCUGCAUCGGGAUUGAUCCAGUUACCAAAUUCAUCUCGCAUACCUGUAAAUGAGGAGUUUCUCUUACUUACUCCUAGGACCACUAUUGAGGAGUUGAAGAAUGUUAAUAAGGUUUUUUAUUUUAUUUUAUUACAGGUCUAUUUUGGUAAAGUUUGUACACCUUUUGGUAUAAUGUUAUUUUGUAUGGUGAUGCGGCACCUCUUUUAUUGUCUUGGGAAUUUCAAUUUUCAAUUGAACAAAUCGUUUUUGUUGCAUGUAUUGACAAUUCAAUAAAAAAAAAUCAGUUUCCAUAUUUUCUAUUUACAAUUUACUUAUGUCUUAAACUUUACACAAAUUCUAAAGUAAAUACAAAAAUUAAGUUUCCCUAAGUGUGAAUAAUUAGCGAUAACCUAUUAUUUUAAAAAUAUUGUUUUUGUGUUUUAAACUUAUUUUUUGUUCACAAAUAUAAAACCAAACAUGAUUUGUUAAUGCUUUUUUUAUAUUCAAAAUUUAACAUAAAAAUUCAUUUUUUUUAAUGAAAUACAAAAUAUACAUAUAUUUAUGAGGUAAAUUUUAUUCAAAAAUGUGCUUAUUUUCAUAAAUUAAAAAAAUAAUGUCAAUGAAUAUUAUUUAUGAAACCAAUAAAAAUAAUAGAUGUAACUAAAAUUUUGAAUUUAGGUUUUUUUUAUUUAUAAUUGCGAUCAUAGAGAUCAUUGUGAUUAAGUAAAAAAUUAAUAUUUUUAUUAAGAGUGAAAAAUUAAAACAUAGGUAAUCAUAUCCAUUUGAUAUAUUGAAUGACUGACAAACCAAAGCUAAUACAAACUCUUACUAAUUAGUUAAUUUUUUAGAAAUAUAUUAAUUAUUUAUAGUGUUUUUAUCUUUUGGGUUUAAUUGUACUUUUGUUGAUUAUUUUAUCACUCUCACAAAAAUAGUCAUCUAUAAAAUUUAACUUUUUGAUCUCAAUAAAUGAUUAUUUAUUUUUCAAUUUUAAAUACGAAGAUAAAAUACCACAUAACGCCAAAAUUAUGGAUGAAAAGAAACAAAAACAAUAAUAUUUAAAAAAUUUGUUAAAACUUAAAUCAUAUUAAAAAAAAAAUUAAAUAAAAUGUAUCCCGUGCUUGGCACGGGGCGUUACACUAUUGAGAAGCAUACGGAAGUAAUUGAGAUUUAGAAAUUAAUUUUAACUUAUACAGAAAUUAUUGUUUGGAAAAUUAGUCAUCAUAAUUUUUUUUUGUUACAAAUGGGAAAAAUUGUAAAAGUGGUAUCAAAGUCUCUUAGUGGUUAUGAACAUUUAACUCAUUGCCGUUCUCAGUGCUCCUCGAACUCUCUAACAAGUGGUAUCAGGAUCCUAAUUAAGCUCGGCGGGGGAGUGGGAGAGGGAUCCUAGUGUGGAUUGGACUAGUGAUAUGAGUGACUCAAACAUGAGAUGAAGAUGUGGUGUCAAAGUCUCUUAAUGAUCUUGAUCUUAGACGUUUAGCUUGUUCACGUUAUCGACGCUCCCCGAAACUCCACAACACCAAUGAUAUUUAAACACCUCAACUUUUUCUAUAUCAAUUCAACACUCCAUUUUUCAUAUAUCUCCCUCUUCCUAUCUCAUUAUUAAACUACGGUAUCAUCGUUUUUUCUCUUCCUUUCUCUUAAUUUAAAGGUGCAUACAUCCACAUGAAGAAGUGUAAAAAACAUUUUCAAAAAACUAUCAUCCAGAUGUCUCAUAUUCAAUGUCCUUUUUUUAGUGAACAUAUAAUAUCCAUCAAGUUUAAUUGAAUAUGCACUCUUCACCCAAUGUCAUAUCAUAGUUUUAUAUUAAUUUAUUUUUAAAGUAAAUUUAAACAUUAAACAAAUUGUACCUAUAAGACAACGAUACUCAACCAAACUUUAAAGGAUCUACGAAUUGAUCAUUUGUUUUUUUAUUGGUGAGCUCUUUCGUAUCCUAGAAUUUUAUAUCAAACAUUAAAAAAAACUAACUAACUUAUGCUUUAUGAGUGUUUUUUUAAAAAUUGUAUAAAAGUUUAAUUUUUUUUUUUUCCAUUAGUUAUGAUUCAAUCGAUAAAAAAAUCGAAAUUGUUAGGUCUGACUUUAUCAUUUUGUCCAUCCACAUAAAAAAAAUAUUUUUUUACAAUACAAACUCUCUUGUAAUUCUUAUUUUAGGUUUUUUAAUUUAUGAGUUAAAGUUUGGUCAAAAAAGAAAAACCUUGUGACUUAAAGCACAAGUUAACACCACACGAAAGUUAAUCAUUUGAUGCCACACAUUAUCUUAAAAAGUUUUUUGGUUUUUUAGGGGAUCAUAUCCUAUAAAGUUGUUGAUGGCGUUAUUGAAUUUUUCUCCGUAGGACCCUCAUGGUGCACCCUCGUGCACGCAUGUUUCAAAUAAAUCCAGAAACAAACUACACUCUUCAUUUGCUGACUUCACCACUCCCACUUUUCCUCCACUCAUCCUAAACAAACAUGAACUCUAUGAUAAUUGUUUCUGCAAUUUUUCUGGCACUCUUUGCCAUCAUCUUCACCUCAUAUAAUCCACAAAAUUUCUUUUCACCGGUUCCCAUUCCUGGAUCGAAGAAUAGUCUCCAUGCUGCUAAGUUACUCGAUCUCACCGGAGCCGUCGGGCCGGAGAGUCUUGUUUUUGAUAGUAAUGGUGAUGGGCCGUACACCGGCGUGGCGGAUGGUCGGAUUUUAAAAUGGGAAGGAGAGGAACGUGGUUGGACUGAAUUUGCUGUCACCAGCUCCAAUAGGUAAUGGUAAUAUUCAUUUGGGUGUUUCCACAUUUCAAAAUUCUUUCUUUACACAUUUUGUUUUUAUUUUUUGUUCUAAAGAAUUUAAGGAGAAACUCGUAUAGACUAAAUAUUUAGAAGCCAAGAGUUGCAGAUUUGAACAUACCUCGCUCGGUGUAUCAAAUGUCUCUAUGGUUCUUUAUUUAGUUUAUGUUUUGAAUGAAUUUAUACAAGUAAAACAAAUUCUAAUUUAACUCGUAUAGACUCCUCUCUAUUUAAUGGAAGCUACCAUUUAGAGAGUGAUAGAUUCAUCGAAUAUAAUGGUAGUGUCCGGUAAAUAGAGAGAAUCUUAACUUUUUUUUUUUCUUUUUUAAUUUAAGUGAGCUCCACCACUAUUAAUUAUUUUAUAUAUUUUUUCAAAUUUUUGUGUUUUUAUAUCUCCAAAAAACAAAAUGGAGAUACACCACCAAGAAAAAAAUGAAAAUAAUUUAAAUUGAGAGGAUCCUUACUCAAUUGUUUGGUAGGGUAGGUUAGUGCUUUCAAUGCAAGUGGUACCACUAUUUAAUUGGAUAAUGAUUUUAGUAUAGUUAGUUGAGUUGAGUAAUUGAAAUUGAACUCCCUUUACAUGAGAUUUAGGAUCGCGAAAGUGUGUAAGUCUAAAAUAUGAAAACUUUUAGGGUUAAAGAACACUCGUAAGAAUAUUUACCUUUAUCUCCUGCAAAAGUAUUAUUGGGGCUCAAACUCGAGAUCUUUAGACUCUAAAUUCAAGACUUGUUUUUUUAUCAUUAGAUCAAACUUUUGAAGUUACCUUACUCUAUUUAUACCGUAGGGAUUUCUUGAGUUUUAUGAGUUCAAACUUGUACCUACAUGCAUAAUAUGUUAUCAAUUAUGUACUUGCAUAUUACACCAUGUUUUAAUAAAUGUAAACUUAAUUUUACUCUAAAUAACAUGGUAUGAUACAAUUGGUAGAUAAUGAGUCUCUUAAGCAUGUUGUCCUAGGUCUAGAAGAAUCUCAUUUGGGAAAUGUCAACCUCUUAAAUACUUCGACGAGUUAGACUCUAACCGUAGAUCGUGGAUACACGGGUUCAUGCUUAAUUUUACUUUUUAGUUCGCAUGCCGUUUUUUAAGACACUAAAGAGUUAGGACCAAUGUUGUGAGCUAAUUAUUCCCUUGAAAGUGAAUUUACAGCAUUAAUUGUUAUUGAGUGAUUAACCAAGAAAUAUGCAGUUUAUGGAGUAGCCACUAAAUAUUUUUCAACUAGUUUGAACACGAGGGGCAUGGAGAUGGAGGAGAAUUGUAUUUUACUUACAAGCAUUAUUAAAAUUUCAAACCUUCUGAUUCUAAAUUGUGAAAACUAGAGUACUUGCUAUGAAUGAUAUGCUUGUUACAUAUGCUUUGACUGAAAUUCUGCCUGGUAGGUUUUGCAUGAUGUGCAGAAAAGCCGUAUAACUGAUUAUUUUGUUUGAAUGCCAUGACAUUACUCUUAACUCAUAGCUACAUUAGAAUUUUCUUACGAGUUUAAUAAAUUCCGUUGUAUGAUUUGCAAGGUCGGACUGUGUGCGUCCAUUCGCACCAGAGUUGGAGCAUGUUUGUGGGAGGCCACUAGGACUAAAGUUUGAUAAGAAAAAUGGAGAUUUGUAUAUGGCUGAUGCCUACCUUGGCCUCAACGUCGUAGGACCUGCAGGGGGUUUGGCCACUCAGGUAGCAACAGAAGCUGAAGGCCUGCCCUUUCACUUCACCAAUGACUUGGAUAUCAGUGAAGAUGAAGAUGUGAUUUACUUUACUGAUUCAAGCUCAGUUUAUCAGAGAAGGUAACUUUACCUCUUAACAACACCUAUUUUUCUAUAAUCAACUCUGUCUGCAUUUUGUAAAACAACAUUACAAUUGAGUACAAACAAUUUUAUAAUUCUAGUGAGAUCAAUUCUCUAUCAUUAUAUUUUCAUUUAAACAAUUCUAAACUUGCUUCUUCUUCUUCAUACUCCAACAUUCGGUCCAUUAAUGUUACAAAUGCGAAAUGCUGUUUUACACGAAAGUGGAUUUGACAAAACCGACGAACAUUUGUUGACAGGCCUGUUGUCUCACUCACUACUCCAGUACUCCUUGUGUUGUGUCAAUCACCCAACUAAACAUUUGUUAACUUUUCCGUAAAAACAAAGCAAUCUUGUGCUUCACAUUCUAUAUCCUUCAAAGUAGCAACAAUCCUAACGACUUUAUUUAUUUUUGUGCAAUCAAUAUGUUGUAAACUAGUGUUUUUUUUAUCAUUAUAUAGAGAAAAUUGCACUCACUGCACCUAAGAUAUCUUGAAACAACACAUUGACCCCAUCUAGUUUUGAACACUUAUCUCUCCUAUUGAUUUCUGUUAUGAUCAUCCUGAUUUAGCCGUUUUGGAAUGGUAAACUAUAUAGUAAGAGGGAAAUCUCUCACAAAGUAUGAAACACUUGUUCAAGUCAAAUAAAAAAUGUUUGAUGGUUGAAGAAAAUAAUAAAUAAUAUCAAGGAAAACUGUGCAAUUCUCUUUGGUCUAUGUAUAUAUCUUUGUAGAGCAAGAUAAUAUUUGUCUAUGAAACUAAUAAAUAUAAAUAUAACUGAAAACUUCUCUUUGUAGAGAAAUUUUGAUCUAUAUGUUGGUCACUUUUGUCUGCAGGCAACAUAUGCUUGUAACUCUUAGUGGAGACAAGACUGGACGGUUAAUGAAAUACGAUAAGUCGAGUAAAGAAGUAAAGGUCUUAUUAAGUGGCCUUUUUUUUCCCAAUGGUGUUGCUUUAAGCAAAGAUGGUUCAUUUCUUCUGGUAGCCGAAACCUCGAUUAGCAGGAUUCUGAGGCUUUGGCUUAAUGGACCUAAUGUUGGCCAAAUCGAUACUUUUGCUGUUCUUCCAGGUUUUCCCGACAAUAUAAGGAGAAAUUCAGAAGGGCACUUUUGGGUUGCUUUGCAUUCCAAAAAAACUCCUUUUACGAAGUGGAUAUCUUCUAAUCUAUGGGCUCGUAAAGCAUUGUUAAAGCUUAGAAACUUCAAGCGGUUGCAAGCGUUGUUGGCGACAAAGCCUCAUGCUGCAGCUAUAAAGCUGAGUGAUGAAGGGGAAAUAAUAGAAAGUCUGGAAGAUCGUGAAGGGAAGACCUUGAAGUUCAUCAGUGAAGUGGAAGAGAAAGAUGGAAAACUUUGGAUGGCCUCUGUCUUAAUGCCUUAUAUUGGUGUUUAUAGUUUAUGAGAAUGCAAUAUGUUAAUUAUAUUAGUAUUGAUAUUGCUGUUUCUAGCACUCAUCUUUGAAUUAUCUUUAGACUUAUUUGGAUUAACUUUUAACUUAGGAGAGUUAAUUAAGUUUCUAAUCCUGUCUUGCGAAAAAUUGCUAAUAAAGAUUGUUGAUGUUUGUUUAUGGAUUUAAAUGAGAGGUCUACGGAAGUAAUUCAGAUAUAGAAGUUCCUUUUAACUUCUUUUUUUUUUACUAAAAGUUCAUUUUAACUUGUAAAGUCGUAAGAAAAGUUAUUGUUUGCAAAAUUAGUUAUUGCAAAUUUCUUUUUUCUUGUUACAAACGGAAAAAUUGUAAAAUUGUAAAAUUCUUUUAAGAAUAUUCUUGAAAAGUUUAUUUAGACUUUUUUUAGUCAUUCAUGCAAGUGGCGUAUGAAUUAAAAUGUUAAUUACUUUGAAUGAUUGAUAAGAAUUAACUUAAUAUGAAAGUUGUGUUAAUUGUAAAAUUAUAGUAUGUUUCUCUUAGAUUCACAUAUUUUUGAAGUCGGUAUGUAUGUGGUCGUUACAUCAAGAUCAGAUGGUUCAUAUUUCAAGUUCGGUAUUUUUCUAUUUUAAAAAAUGAAAAAUUAUAUUGAAAUCUAGAUCGUUCGAUUUCAAUCCAACAAUCAUGGGGUACCCAUUUGGGUUGGCCUAGUGGUAUUUGCUUGGGACUUGAGAGUGUGCUCCUCCUCGAUAUCUCAUGUUCGAUUUUCUCCGAUGGUAAUUUAGGUGGACUAAUUUAGCUUCUUAAAAAAAAAAAAAAUCCAACAAUCAUGGGUACCAAAUAUGCGUGAAUUCGUCAAAUAAUGACUGCAUUGAAUCACAUUUCGUAGAUACAUAAACACUAGCAACUAAUAUUUGCCUAUUAAAAAAAGCAGAUACACAAACAAUUGUGGAGAAUUGGUGGUAAUCUUCUACCAUUAAUUAUCGGUGGUGCUUUAACUUAAUGGUGUGUUUUAGUAUGGUUGCAUUGAAAACCAGUAAAAAUAUUUCAAGGAAUGUUUGCAUUAUUUUCUUCCAUAGUACUUCUAUGGUGGUGGUAAGCAACAAGAACAAAAGUAAAUGAUUUAGAUUUGAAUUGAGUUGAGUUGAAGAAAAUAUUCAUUUCAUCAUUUCCUUCUUUGUGUAUAUUUAUUGGGCGAGCCACACUAUGCUUAUUGGCCAGAAUUUCAUUCAGUCUAUUUAGCCAAAUUGGGUUUGAAUCAUGUGCCUUUACAUAUGUGAUGAUUUGU
This 10067-nucleotide long non-coding RNA is filed under the name Medicago truncatula (barrel medic). Its description in RNAcentral is "long non-coding RNA (MTRU_LNC005478)". Lineage: Eukaryota; Viridiplantae; Streptophyta; Magnoliopsida; Fabales; Fabaceae. The record is from RNAcentral.